AAGUCGUAACAAGGUUUCCGUAGGUGAACCUGCGGAAGGAUCAUUACAAAUCAUAUGAGGAGGUGAGGGUCGCUGGGUGUAAAGCCUAGCUGGCCCCACUGUCCAACAUUUACGCGUUUAUUGUGUGGCAGUAUAUUGUGACAUAAAAAAGACAACUUUUAACAAUGGAUCUCUUGGCUCUU
This 182-nucleotide unclassified non-coding RNA is filed under the name fungal sp. RNAcentral's name for it is "partial contains small subunit ribosomal RNA, internal transcribed spacer 1, and 5.8S ribosomal RNA". The stretch from base 1 to 46 matches the Rfam family "Eukaryotic small subunit ribosomal RNA", at positions 1786 to 1831 of the family's 1831-position model. Lineage: Eukaryota; Fungi. The record is from RNAcentral.